AGAGUUUGAUCCUGGCUCAGAUUGAACUCUGGCGGCAUGCCUUACACAUGCAAGUCGAACGGUAACAGGUCUUCGGAUGCUGACGAGUGGCGAACGGGUGAGUAAUACAUCGGAACGUGCCUAGUAGUGGGGGAUAACUACUCGAAAGAGUAGCUAAUACCGCAUGAGAUCUACGGAUGAAAGCAGGGGAUCGCAAGACCUUGUGCUACUAGAGCGGCUGAUGGCAGAUUAGAUAGUUGGUGGGAUAAAAGCUUACCAAGCCGACGAUCUGUAGCUGGUCUGAGAGGACGAUCAGCCACACUGGGACUGAGACACGGCCCAGACUCCUACGGGAGGCAGCAGUGGGGAAUUUUGGACAAUGGGCGAAAGCCUGAUCCAGCAAUGCCGCGUGCAGGAUGAAGGCCUUCGGGUUGUAAACUGCUUUUGUACGGAACGAAAAGCUUCGGGUUAAUACCCUGGAGUCAUGACGGUACCGUAAGAAUAAGCACCGGCUAACUACGUGCCAGCAGCCGCGGUAAUACGUAGGGUGCAAGCGUUAAUCGGAAUUACUGGGCGUAAAGCGUGCGCAGGCGGUUUUGUAAGACAGUGGUGAAAUCCCCGGGCUCAACCUGGGAACUGCCAUUGUGACUGCAAAGCUAGAGUACGGCAGAGGGGGGUGGAAUUCCGCGUGUAGCAGUGAAAUGCGUAGAUAUGCGGAGGAACACCGAUGGCGAAGGCAACCCCCUGGGCCUGUACUGACGCUCAUGCACGAAAGCGUGGGGAGCAAACAGGAUUAGAUACCCUGGUAGUCCACGCCCUAAACGAUGUCAACUGGUUGUUGGGUCUUAACUGACUCAGUAACGAAGCUAACGCGUGAAGUUGACCGCCUGGGGAGUACGGCCGCAAGGUCGAAACUCAAAGGAAUUGACGGGGACCCGCACAAGCGGUGGAUGAUGUGGUUUAAUUCGAUGCAACGCGAAAAACCUUACCCACCUUUGACAUGUACGGAAUCCUUUAGAGAUAGAGGAGUGCUCGAAAGAGAGCCGUAACACAGGUGCUGCAUGGCUGUCGUCAGCUCGUGUCGUGAGAUGUUGGGUUAAGUCCCGCAACGAGCGCAACCCUUGCCAUUAGUUGCUACAUUUAGUUGAGCACUCUAAUGGGACUGCCGGUGACAAACCGGAGGAAGGUGGGGAUGACGUCAAGUCCUCAUGGCCCUUAUAGGUGGGGCUACACACGUCAUACAAUGGCUGGUACAAAGGGUUGCCAACCCGCGAGGGGGAGCUAAUCCCAUAAAGCCAGUCGUAGUCCGGAUAGCAGUCUGCAACUCGACUGCGUGAAGUCGGAAUCGCUAGUAAUCGUGGAUCAGAAUGUCACGGUGAAUA
RNAcentral lists this ribosomal RNA (1361 nucleotides) under uncultured bacterium. Its description in RNAcentral is "bacterial SSU rRNA". It matches the Rfam family "Bacterial small subunit ribosomal RNA", at positions 8 to 1368 of the family's 1533-position model. The record is from RNAcentral.